UGGGGAAUAUUGCACAAUGGAGGGAACUCUGAUGCAGCGACGCCGCGUGAGUGAUGAAGGAAUUCGUUUCGUAAAACUCUGUUCUAUGGGAAGAAAAGGACUGUACCAUAGGAGAAAGCUCCGGCUGAAUACGUGCCAGCAGCCGCGGUAAUACGUAUGGAGCGAGCGUUGUCCGGAAUUAUUGGGCGUAAAGGGUGCGCAGGCGGCUUUACAAGUUGGAUGUGAAAUAUUGUGGCUCAACCACAAACGUGCAUCCAAAACUGCAAAGCUUGAGUUAAGGAGAGGUAAGUGGAAUUCCUGGUGUAGCGGUGGAAUGCGUAGAUAUCAGGAGGAAUACCGGUGGCGAAGGCGACUUACUGGCCUUAACCUGACGCUCAGGCACGAAAGCGUGGGGAGCAAACAGG
RNAcentral lists this ribosomal RNA (404 nucleotides) under Fusobacteriota bacterium. RNAcentral describes it as "Fusobacteria bacterium partial 16S ribosomal RNA". It matches the Rfam family "Bacterial small subunit ribosomal RNA", at positions 355 to 776 of the family's 1533-position model. The record is from RNAcentral. Lineage: Bacteria; Fusobacteriati; Fusobacteriota.